Molecule: long non-coding RNA, 1110 nt
Organism: Lontra canadensis (Northern American river otter)
Lineage: Eukaryota; Metazoa; Chordata; Mammalia; Carnivora; Mustelidae
Exons: 9
Source: RefSeq, a predicted model, not a curated record
CCCCCAGUCCAAAGUUUUAUAGUCCAAUUCAAACAAAACAGGAAUGGAAAGCCAACAUCACAGAGUUCCCUUAAUGAACACUGAAGUUAAAGAUUCAGGAAGGAGCACAUAACCUAAUGCAUUCCAAGGAGAGAUGAAGAGAUGUUUGCUGGAGACUUAUCUAGAAAAGAUAAGUCUUCACUAGAGACUCCAUCAUUUAAAGUACUGCUCAGUAAUUGACUAUCGGAAGAAGAAAAUUGUACCCAGACGGUAGGAACAGAAUUCAUAAAUGGAUGGUCUGUGCUUCCCUGCUAACCAGCCCUCUGUCCCUCAAGACAUUUAUGAUCUGUUCCAACAACUGAAAAAUGGGGAGUUAGAGUACACAGUAUAUGAAGGCUUAUAUUCCUCCUGCCAUAAAUCUCUACUUUAGAAUCAAGAUCUGAAGAGAACGAUCAUCUUUACCUCUACUCUGCUUGCGUCUACCUUGGCCCUACAUUGAGCAAAUUCCAUAGAUAACAGUUGCUUUGACGGAAGACUGUAGCAGGUUAUAACGCCAGUGAGUAGAGAAGCCCUUUGAGGAACUGUAAUGAGUUCCUCAUAGCACACAGACAGAUGUGUUAUGUCCCGGCAAGGGAAGUAUCCAAUGGCCAGCCUUCAGAGUACAGUCAGUUUGAUGUUUUGCCUGGAGACUGUUAUUAUCCCAAAUGAGAAGGAAUGUGUGGUACUAUUAGAAAUGAAUACGUCAAGCUAUAGUCAAACACCAGGAGAUAAAUAGAACGAACAUACUUUUCUCCAGAAAAAAGUUUACCAGAUUACUUACUUCAUUGAACAAAGGAGCAAGUUAGAAAACCACCCUGUUAUCUCCCUCAUGCACUUGUGACAAAGACCUUCCUUCAAUCAAAUCGUGGAUACAACUGCUUCCUACCAUUCUUUUCAUCAUUCUCUCGGGCCAUUAUUUGCAAGUCAAGUGGGUAAUUCAUAGGUGUGUGCUGAUUAAGAACCACUGCAUGGAGUCAUUCUUUCUUUGAAUUAGACACCAACAAACAGAACUGACUUCUAAAAUAAUUGAUGAGAAUUAAUUUUACUACCAAAUAGAGAUACUAUAGAGGAGAAUUUGGAGAAUGAUUAAGA